UACAGAGGGUGCGAGCGUUAAUCGGAAUUACUGGGCGUAAAGCGCACGUAGUCGGCUUUGCAAGUCGGGUGUGAAAUCCCCGGGCUCAACCUGGGAACUGCAUCCGAGACUGCAUUGCUAGAGUAUGGGAGAGGGAAGCGGAAUUUCUGGUGUAGCAGUGAAAUGCGUAGAUAUCAGAAGGAACAUCAGUGGCGAAGGCGGCUUUCUGGACCAAUACUGACGAUCAGGUGCGAAAGCGUGGGGAGCAAACAGG
RNAcentral lists this ribosomal RNA (253 nucleotides) under uncultured bacterium. Its description in RNAcentral is "partial 16S ribosomal RNA". It matches the Rfam family "Bacterial small subunit ribosomal RNA", at positions 524 to 776 of the family's 1533-position model. The record is from RNAcentral.